CCUACGGGGAGCAGCAGUGGGGAAUAUUGGACAAUGGGCGAAAGCCUGAUCCAGCCAUGCCGCGUGUGUGAAGAAGGCCUUCGGGUUGUAAAGCACUUUCAGUGGGGAAGAAAGCCUUGGGGCUAAUACCCUCGAGGAAGGACAUCACCCACAGAAGAAGCACCGGCUAACUCCGUGCCAGCAGCCGCGGUAAUACGGAGGGUGCGAGCGUUAAUCGGAAUUACUGGGCGUAAAGCGCGCGUAGGCGGUCUGAUAAGCCGGUUGUGAAAGCCCCGGGCUCAACCUGGGAACGGCAUCCGGAACUGUCAGGCUAGAGUGCAGGAGAGGAAGGUAGAAUUCCCGGUGUAGCGGUGAAAUGCGUAGAGAUCGGGAGGAAUACCAGUGGCGAAGGCGGCCUUCUGGACUGACACUGACGCUGAGGUGCGAAAGCGUGGGUAGCAAACAGGAUUAGAUACCCCGGAUC
RNAcentral lists this ribosomal RNA (463 nucleotides) under Vreelandella stevensii. Its description in RNAcentral is "partial 16S ribosomal RNA". It matches the Rfam family "Bacterial small subunit ribosomal RNA", at positions 338 to 793 of the family's 1533-position model. The record is from RNAcentral. Lineage: Bacteria; Pseudomonadati; Pseudomonadota; Gammaproteobacteria; Oceanospirillales; Halomonadaceae.